GUUUUGUGAUUAUUUUUUUUACAACUUUAAAUACGGAAUAUAAAUAAAUUUUACAUUUAAAAAAUAAAAGGAAAGCCCCCAAAAAUAUAAUCACCGACUUUUCAAACUGAAGGAAGCAGAUUUGGGAGGGGGGAGGGGCGAGCGCAGCGGGAGGGGGGAAGGGAGGCGGAGCUCAGACCCCACCCCUGGGGCCCCCGGAUCUUCUCCCUUUGCUCCCCCACUCCCAGCCCAGGAGCUGGUUUCCGGGGAGGAGCCGCCAGAGGCGGAGCUCAAAGGAUCUAAGAUGGGGGAGCGGGCGGGGGAACAGGAGCCGCCCCAUCCCUUGGAGACGUCCUCUUGGGUUUUUCAAACCUGCCUGGAAGGAGGACUGUUUGAGCUGAGGACUCGGGGAGAUGGAGGCCGGACGCACAACAGCGUGCCUCCCCGCCAACACGGGCUCACUCCCGUCCGACCACUCCAAGCCCUGGGCUGGGUCGGGGCACAGCAGUCCACACAGAGUCUUUUUGUGUCAAUCAGGGAAAGGAUUCCUUUCCUUGAGACAUCUGACCUCCAUCUGCCGGAAAACUGUCAUAAUAAAUAUACACAUUGGCCGUGUUUAUGGUGUGAACCGUGAUCCCUGCAUGCAGUGCCAUUGUGCAGUGCACACCCUGCACAACCUUACAUGGCAGUCUUGGCUGGGCUGAGAUAUGAUGGGCAGGCCCCCUGCUGCCCUGGCCCCUCAUCUUCUGCCUUAUGGAGCAGUGACUGGGGUUAUGUGGGGCCUCAAUGAGGGGUCCAAGAGCCCCUUGGUGGAGCAGACUGAGGGCCAAGAGGAAGAUGCAGGGUAGAGGUAGAGAGAUGAAACAGAGGAGGAAGUGAAGGGGAGUGGAAGGAGGCGGUGGAUGCCCAGGUCACCAUCUACAUCCACUUCCAGAGCAAACUUCAACUCUUACCCAUCUGAGAGGGUGCGCGGCCGCCUGGCGCUCUGGCCACGGCCGCCCGGAGGAGUCCACAUCUUCAAAGAUGUCAUACGUAUGAAAGGAAAGGGAGCCCCUGCGGCAGAGGGGACCCGGCAGAGGGGAUGGGCGUGGGCACUGCAGGAGGCUUCCCCAGUCUGUGCUCCGCCACGUGGUCCCAACCACAGGAGGACGAGGUACCCGGCCUGCCUGGGGGUGUUGCCUUCAGAGCCGGCCGGGGGACCGGGCAGCGGAGGCUGCGCCCAGAGAUCCUCAGGGCCACGCGCAGGGCUUCGGGCUGACCCACCGCGCGGGAAGAGAGCCCCUGUCCCCAGACGGUGGCCACGCCUGUCUCUCUUGCACCCUCUUCCGAGGUCCUCGGGGCAGGAGAGGAAGCCAGCGGCAGAGUCCAGGUCCUUCGUUUCCUUCUCGAGCUUCGGGGCCAGACGCUGGAGGCGGCCGAGGGGAGCCCCGCUGGCGGACGGGUGGAUGGACGCGGAGGGGUGGGGGAAGCACCAUUGGCCGUCCGAAUCAGGCAUCGAGACAGACGGACGAGGGGACAAUAUUAUGACUCCAAGGACCCCAUGGGGGCGAUACCGCAAAUACCAUAUUAAAUAACCCUGUGGGCCAAGCAGAGGACAGGGGGAGUCAGAGACAGACUGGGGGGCGUCCCAUGCUCACAAGCCCCCUUGGCCGGGGACGGGGAGCCGGGGUCCACCAGCGCCUCUGAUUUCCAGCCGGCUCGCUCAGGGCUGGGGGAGCUGAGGGUAGACCUCCCGUUCUCUCGGGGCUGCCACACAGCUGGGCUGGGGUCUCCCAAGCCCCCCGUCACCUGCCCCAUGGAAAACAGCGGAUAACUGGGGGUGGGGGGGAGCCAGGGUGUGGCUUAGAGGCUGGGUUUUGUAUGGAAAAAUGCCUCUCCCCCAGCAUUUUCCCAUACAAGGAAACCCAGGGCAACGGAG
This is a long non-coding RNA of Equus asinus (donkey), 1897 nucleotides long. Lineage: Eukaryota; Metazoa; Chordata; Mammalia; Perissodactyla; Equidae. The record is from Ensembl.